GCCAGCAGCCAUAUCGCCCUGCAGCCCAAGACUGGUUGCCCACUGAAGCUAAGCAGGGUUGAGCCUGGUCAGUACCUGGAUGGGAGACCUCCUGGGAAAACUAGGUUGCUGCUGGAA
This 117-nucleotide ribosomal RNA is filed under the name Sinocyclocheilus rhinocerous. Lineage: Eukaryota; Metazoa; Chordata; Actinopteri; Cypriniformes; Cyprinidae. The record is from RNAcentral.